CAAAACGUUUUUGUGCAAUGUAAUUUGCUCCGUUGCACAAGUAUAUUUUUGUACUAGUGGUGUGUUCAGGGAGUUCUUUGAGUUGCCUGCAGAGGACAAGGCAAACCUCUACUCUGACGACCAGCAGUGGGUAUUUUGAUUGGGAAGAUGUUCAUCUUUGGCGCGGUUACCUACGCCACCCUUGCAUCCUCUAGAAGAAUACAUGCACGAGUGGCCUCACAGCCUAGUAGAUAUAUAGGUACCAAAGAUAUAC
This 253-nucleotide long non-coding RNA is filed under the name Malus domestica (apple). RNAcentral's name for it is "long non-coding RNA (MDOM_LNC005116)". Lineage: Eukaryota; Viridiplantae; Streptophyta; Magnoliopsida; Rosales; Rosaceae. The record is from RNAcentral.